Molecule: transfer RNA, 70 nt
Filed under: Anabas testudineus (climbing perch)
Lineage: Eukaryota; Metazoa; Chordata; Actinopteri; Anabantiformes; Anabantidae
Description: tRNA-Ile
Rfam family: tRNA
About the family: Transfer RNA (tRNA) molecules are approximately 80 nucleotides in length. Their secondary structure includes four short double-helical elements and three loops (D, anti-codon, and T loops).
Source: RNAcentral
GGAACUGUGCCUGAAAUAAAGGACCACUUUGAUGUAGUGGAUAAUGUGGGUUAAAAUCCCCCCAGCUCCU